Pogoniulus pusillus (Red-fronted tinkerbird) is the source of this 974-nucleotide RNA transcript. It is a transcript of the gene named isoleucine--tRNA ligase, cytoplasmic-like, with no coding region annotated. The transcript is spliced from 8 exons. The record is from RefSeq and is a predicted model, not a curated record. Lineage: Eukaryota; Metazoa; Chordata; Aves; Piciformes; Lybiidae.
GAGCUUUCGGCACGGGGUCAAGCCACUACUCUGAGCCUUCACCUAAAAGACCAAGAGUUUCUGCCCCAGAACCAGAAAUGCUGCAGAUUGGAUGAUGACAGAGUCUGCAUGGACUUGAAUAGAAUUCAGAAGGGUGCUGUGGCUGUUUGUGCCAUCGAUGCAUCUGGCUGCUUCACAGCAGAGGUGGCUGACUUGGCUGGACAGUAUGUGAAGGACGCAGAUAAGAACAUCACUAAAGUACUGAAAGAGAAAGGCAGACUGGUUCACAGCAGUAGUUUUAAGCACAGCUCUCCUUUCUACUGGAGAGUCUUUUCAUCUUCCCUGGACUAACUGAAAACACCUCUUUCAGUAUGUGACCUUGCCUGAGUUGCCUGCUGUUGUGAUCUUCAAAGAUGGAGCUUCCUUUGUUUCUGAUGGUGCCAAAAAGGAGAGCUUCUUCACCUGCUUCUCCGGUGCAAGCUCUUCUGUCUGUCUGUUGAGAUGUUUCUGCCUGUUUAUCUGGCAGAGAAGUGUUUGCUUUUUUGGCUGGCGAGCUGACCAUCCGUACUACCGUCGCCUUGAAUGCCUCCAACCAGCAGUGUUUGCUGCCAGACAGACACCUUGAGAAGACAGAGGACAUGGUUAAGUUCAUGAACAAUAUCUUGGAUGGUGCUGCUGAAGCACAGGCUGGUGAUGGACUUCUGCAACGAAGCAAGAGAGUCAUCUAUGAGGCCAAGGCUGCUGUAAUGAUAGAGUAUAUUGCUUAUUCAGUGAGGUGAUGCUCUUGUCAGUCAAGAUCUUCAUCUGGAUGUGCCACUUUCUGGUCAGGGCUGUCCUUUGGAAGAGAAAUAGUUGUAUCACAGUAUCACCAAGGUUGGAAGAGACCUCAUAGAUCAUCAAGUCCAACCCUUUACCACAGAGCUCAAGGCUAGACCAUGGCACCAAGUGCCACGUCCAGUCCUGCCUUGCACAGCUCCAGGGACGGCGACUCCACC